Homo sapiens (human) is the source of this 913-nucleotide long non-coding RNA. Ensembl annotates it as ATP binding cassette subfamily C member 13 (pseudogene). Its record names the gene ABCC13. The record is from Ensembl. Lineage: Eukaryota; Metazoa; Chordata; Mammalia; Primates; Hominidae.
CCAUUCCACCAGCACCCCGCCCCAGGCGCACUGGCUAGGACUGGAAGGCAAGGACUAAGGUGAAAGCUGACUGCCCGCACCGCCCCAGGCGCACUGGGUAGGACUGAAAGGCAGGGACUAAGGUGACAGCUGACUCUGCCGGGGCGGAGUGCGUGUCCUCCCACCGUGCUGGCGCUGAACUGACUGUCCGCUGCCAAGGGAAGUGACAGCCGCAGCCGGGCUCUCAGCCAGCGGCCAGGCGCCCCGCGGACCAUGCUCUCCAGUACGCAGAACGCGGGCGGCUCCUAUCAGCGGGUCCGCGGGGCGCUUGAUACACAGAAAUGCAGUCCAGAGAAAAGUGCCUCAUUUUUCAGUAAAGUGACAUAUUCCUGGUUUAGCAGAGUAAUUACUUUAGGCUAUAAGAGACCUUUGGAAAGAGAGGAUCUUUUUGAACUAAAGGAAAGUGAUUCCUUCUGCACUGCGUGUCCCAUCUUUGAAAAACAAUGGAGAAAGGAAGUUUUAAGGAAUCAAGAGAGGCAAAAAGUAAAGGUAUCUUGUUAUAAAGAGGCACAUAUCAAGAAACCAUCUCUACUCUAUGCAUUGUGGAACACCUUUAAAUCCAUCCUGAUUCAAGUUGCCUUAUUCAAAGUGUUUGCUGAUAUUUUGUCCUUCACUAGCCCACUCAUAAUGAACAUUGGCCCUAAUCAUCCUGAUCAUGCUGUCACAAACUUAAGAGGAAAUAAGGAAAAGGAGAGAAAAAAGAAAUUGGUUAUGAAUAAAAGUGACAAUAAAACAUGAGAUAUAAAUCAAGCUUAAAAAAAAAAAGCAGCACCUGUGGGCCAUACUAAAAGAUCCCCUACUUACGUUCUGGUUGUCAUGUUUCCCUGUAUUUGAUAAAACACAUAAUUUUGAGAAAAAUAAAGUUUUAAAUGUA